UCUAAGAAAUUGGCAUCUAAUGAUAAAAUGCUAGAAAAUAUAAUAGAAUGGAUAAUUUCUCUAUUGCCAUCAAGAAUCAAAUUAGCUUUAAUAAAAUGAUUGAAUCUCAGUUAAAUCAAAUAGCUGCUGCUGUUCCUACUACUAACCCCGGUAUACCAUCACAACCGGAAGGAUUAGAAUCUGCAAAUCUUGUAGACACGUUUGAUGCAGGUAAUUGGAGUAACCCCGUCAGUGAAUUAUCUACUGACCUUCUGCCGGUCAAGAGAGGCGAUCUAGGACGCCCCGUCAUCCCGAUCUCUAUCGGCAUGGUGGACGUUCCAGAAGCACUCUGCGACUUUGGCUCCAGUGUCAACAUUAUACCCAGGGUACUCUAUGAAAAAUUCUUUACAUAUCCUUUAUUAGAAACAACCAUGUGUUUGCAGUUUGCAGAUCAGACGAUAACUUUUCCAAAAGGAAUAGUGAAGAACCUUUGUGUCCGAGUUGGUACCUUAUAUGCCCCAGCAGACUUCGUAGUGGUAGAGACCGGAAAUGAUGAGAGAGCACCUAUCAUCUUAGGGAGGCCAUUCUUGAACACCACGGGAGCUAUCAUCUACGCUAGUGCUGCUAAGAUCAGUUUCUACGUCAAAGGAAGGAAGGAGACAUUUUUCUUCAAGAACAAGACUACACAAAUUCCAGAUCAAUCCAGACGUCAAUCAAGGAAGAGGACCAACAGGAGGAACAGGAACAAGCAAGUGUGGACCGAGUCAGCUAAGAUGGUCACUGUAGUUCAUGGAGGCCAAGAUCACCAACUUAAGUCACCGCUUUUGACCAAGAAGGACGACCCAGGAAUGCCAAGCAUCUACUGCUCCAUAAAUGGAUAUAGUUUCUACAAGACGAUUUGCGACACCGGAUCGGGCGUCAACAUAAAGGCCGCAGUCACCUAUCGGCUCUUGUUCGGAACCAUGCCACUAAGACCAACAUACAUUCAACUCCAGAUGGCAGAUUCAGACAUUUUGAGAAGUUAAAGGAAUAGUAACUGAUGUCCCAGUCAAAAUAGACGAUCACUUUGUCUACACAGACUUUCAAGUUAUUGACAUGGGAGAAGACGAGUACGAUCCACCCAUCAUCCUUGGAAGACCGUUCCUCAGCACCGUUAAAGCAAUUAUCUACAUUGGAACCGGAGAAGUCCAUAUGCACUUCCCCUCAGAGAAGGUACGCCGUUAUUUUACUGACCCUAACUAUAUUGUUGAAGAAUCUAAGCAGGUAAGGAAAAGACGUAACCGCAACCAGAGGAGGCAGAUCAUCAAGGACGGAUGGGCAGACUACGAAGGAGAAGUUAUAAGGUCAGAAAACGUAGAGUUUAAACAGAAUUAUCCAGAGGAGACCGAAGCACCAAGUCAGGUGUGGAAAAUGAAGAUAACUAUACAUGAAGAGGAGGCGCCGCCGGAAGUACCGACUACGCCACCCAACGAACCUCAGGACGAUUGAAAAAAUUGAGAGUCCCGUUCGGAGGACUUAAAAAACACCGAACGCCUUGCCGAGAGAUAAACUUGGUAGUUAUCCUUUCCCUUUCAAUUAUUUCAACUAGUUUACUUAGUUAAUCAUGUUCGUACUAUCUUAAAAAUAAAAGAAAAAAAAAGCGAAAAAUAGUAAGCCCCAUGUGAGUAUGCGAGUGGCAUAAAACCCAUAAGUACAUUCGCUGUGGUGGCAUAAAAAUAAAAUAAAAAUUUCUUUUCUGCUUUAUAAAAUAAAAAUAUAAAAACAGGGAGUAAUAAUUAUUAAGGAGUCUCAAGAUGAUAAAGGCUACAUAUUUAUGCUAACACUUAAUCAGUUCCACAAGCUUUGUUGUCUAUUUAAGCUCCGCAGAAUUUAAGAAUCAAGAAGACUAGCAGACGGAGGACAUUCUAAUCGCUGUCAGAAUGCUGCUGACUUUCAAAUACACCUCUGCCACCUGCUAGCUACAUCAAGAGAAAUUACGUCAAAAUUCAGCUUGGGGGAGAGCACCCCCAUUUAUCUCGAUAAGUAUUUCUAUCUAUCUUUAUACUUAUAUUAUAUUAAAAUAUAAAUAUACAUAACUAUAAAAUAAUCAAAUAAAGAUUUUAAGCUUAUAUAUAUAUAUAUCUUUUGCUUAGUGUGUUUAAUAAAUAAAUAAAGUGGCGAUACUAAUCUGUAUCUAAAUAAAACUUAAGCAUGGAAAUGAUGAAUAGUUGCUCUGCCUAAUUUGCACAUUUUAAGUUCUCUCUCAAGUUUAGAUAUAACUGUUAUAAUUUAAAGCUUGCUCUAGACCUAAACUUGUGGGAUGAAAACUUGAUCUGAAGUCUAAGUUGUUAACGGAUACGAUAUGGGAAGGUUGAGCUGCUAUUUAUCUGUUCCUAGAGAUGCUAGAAUUCUGGAGAAUUUUAUCUUUGAAAAUCUUUAAAAUAUUGCAUGAUGAGUUCCUGUAUGAUGAGAGUUUAAAUUCCUACCACAGCCAUAUAUACAUGCUUGCUAGACUUUGAGCCACACAUUUACUAUUUACUGCUUAUGAGCAUUGAGUGUGGUCAAGCUGUGUAGACCCUUAGGAACUUGUCAUGUGGUUAAAUCAAGAUUCACUUGCACGUUCACUCAUAUAUGCUACUUCUACUCCGGAAGUACCAUCCACAUAUAUCCAUCCAUUUCCAUCUCCAGAAUCACCCAAAAAUAUUCUACUCCUGAUCCGGGAGAGAAUAGCCAAAAAUAUUUCUGUUUUCCCUUAUGAAAUAAAUGCUCAAGUUAUCUUGUUACUACCACUUGCUAUAUUAUCUCAAGAGAUGAAUGCUCUAAAAAAAAGAAAAAAAAAAGAGAGAAAUACGAGGAAAUAAAAAGGAGAAAGUGCUCGGAACCUCGAAAGAAAAGAGAGAGUGAGACGAGAGGUAAAAAUGGACAAGUGUCCGACAGUAGAAUUAGGGGUACAAGAUACCCACCUGAGAGAAAAGAAAAAGAAGAGCAUCUCAUUCUCCUCAUAAAGUUUCAAAAAAGCAAGAAAGGUAUGUAUCCCCUCAAAAGAGCAAAGUAGAAUUAGACUUCCACCACCAUUGUUAUCACCAUCAUCACCAUACAUCAUUCAUUCGCCACACAUGCAUAUCUUGAUUAAACUCAUUGGCUUGUUUCUUUGGAUCCAUGGUUUGACUAUGCAAUACAUGUCAUGUAAGUAUGUAUACUUUAUCUCCCACCUAUGAGCUCCAGAUAUUAAAGCCUUAUUAGAGAAGGGUGAGAGAGAAGGCAAUGUCACUAUGCUUUAUACCACAAAUACCACAUAUAUUGAGAGAAGGCAUAUACCAUUACUGCCUUGGUAAGGAUCCAGAAAUACCACAAAAGAGAGAUCUGAGAGAAUCAUACAAGGAAUCUCUGAGUUUUAUUUGAAAAUCUGCAAAAACCCCAGAGCUAUAGCUGAUCAAGAAUAAGGGACAUGGCACUUGACUAGACUGUUCUAUCUUUUAACCACUCAAGAUAGAAGUGACGGUUACAAGUCCCUUGGUAGAAGGUAAAGUAAGUAAGUUUUAAGUCUUGACAGAUUACUCUAACUCAGAGAUGAGAUCUUAUUUAAAAAGCAUGUGUACCGUCAAUUUUUAAAAAAUAUUGCAACAACUUAUGAUCCAUAGCUGAGUCUAUCCUUGCUCAGGGACGAGCAAGAGGUAAGCUUGGGGAGUUUGUUGACGGUCCUUAAGUAUCAAAUUUAAUUAUCAAAUAAACAAAGAAAAGGAUCCAAAUGAAAUCAACAUCUAGACUUAGGGUUUUAUCUGACAGAAUUCUACGAGUUUUGGUGUUUGUCUAUUUCUGCAGGGGGUUAUCAGGAAAUAUGGAAGAAAGGCCCACACGUCGGGAUUGCAUAGAGAUAUUAAUGUGCCACGCAAUUAUCUUACAUCUAGAAGACUCCCGAAGCCACGAGACCGAAGCGGAGGCGAAAUGGGGCCAGACCCUGGGCGCCCGCCCAGUUGGUCACGGCGCCCGCCCACCUCCUGAGUCCAAUCAGGACUCUGCUUUGCGGGAGAUUUCCACCGACCUAAAGGAUGAAUCUAAACCAUACAAUCUAUGUCGGUUUGAUCCAACGGCCCAUAUUCACUUGAAGGGACUAUAAAACCGGACCCCCUGCCCCUGGAGGAGAGAGCCUCUCAACCCUAAUUCAUUGUUCUUCAAGGGAGAAGAAGCCCCUGAUCAAGAUUAGAGCCACCACAUCAAUUAGAUACCUAGAUUAGGAUAGCUACAUAGGAUUAGAACUAGGAGUCAAUCUUCGAUUGGUUUCCGGAUCUGUCAGGAGGAUUCUUGGUAAUUCUCUAAUUGUGCUUCUAAUUGUUCUUCUAAUUAUCUUUGUUCUUCAAUAUUAUGAAUAUGACUUUGUUCUACUUCAAUAUAUUGCUUAUGACUUUGCUCUACAUGCUUAUAUUCAAGAUUAUAUUGUUCUUAGUUUAUCAUAGUUAUGUACUUGGCUUAGUUAGAUUGGAUCUAUAUACAUGCUUAGGAUCGUAUAGCGUUUAUCCAUCGGAUCCAUGGGUAAAUGAUAGAUAUUGUGUAGGCGUGGUGCUUAUACCGUAUUUAUCUGCGAUUGUACCCAAUAUGCCAGAUCGUGGGGUGGUUCGUGAUAGUGACAGCUUCAUUGAUUCUUAUAUAGUCCCCCUCUCGUGUAUUGGGCAGGCAGAGCAACAUUAUUACAGGGGAGUGAUUGCUAUGUUUCUCAUAUUCCUUGCUAAUAUCACUAUGCAUGGGCGUAGUCUUGUCUCGCAAUGAUUGCUAAGUAUGCUUGCACCAACUAUGAUAAUGCUAGACUAUAUAGUUGAGAAUAACUUAGGGAAUAUUCUUGUAGUUCGUUCUAAUAUCAUGCUAAUGACUUUCUAUAGUAUCUAAUUGAGGUGCUUAUCAUAUUUAUUAUGUGGCUAGAUCAGAUUAAUUAUCCUUGUCACUAUUCAUUAUUUGAUAUAUCUUUUAUGUGACACUUAUCCCUGUAUGAUGAGUUAGAUAUAAUGUUCUCAAUUAUACAUGCAAUGAUAGAUGCUCAAUCUCAUAUUCUAUUCUGUAAUCAAUAUUGAUGAUUGCUAAUCCCUUCCCAGUGGUAAAAAUAUAAAUAACGAUACCUGGAAUACUUCCCGGUUAAAAUGCUGCAUCGGUACUAAUCUGUGCGCUUGCAGAUCCCAUUCAUUAUUUAUUUAGAAGAGCAAUUGCAUAUUUCAAUACCGCAUCUCUUAUAUCAUGCUGGGGAUGACAACUUGGCUUAAGUGGUGUGAGGGAUAGGUUUGGCAUUUUUGGCACCGUUACUAGAUUUAGAGAACUUAGUCUACUUUUGGUCAUGAUGUUAAGAAUACCCAACAGUUGACUAGAGAUCCCUGGAUGUUUAUCUCACUCAAUGAAGAUGUGGACAAUCAAGAGAAGAUCACAUUUGGUGACAACUCAAUUGGCAAGGUCAAAGGUAUAGGAAAGGUUGCAAUAUCAAAUGACAACUCCAUCACCAAUGUGCUCUAUGUGUCAUCUCUUAGUUUUAUCUUGCUCUCGGUUGGACAACUUUGUGAUCUUGGUUUCCAAUGCCUAUUCAACAAUAAAGAAGUGAUAGUGACCAAGGAGGAUGAUAAUGAGAUGGUAUUCAAAGGCUUCCACCACAACAACUUAUAUCUUGUUGAUUUCUCCUCCGACGAAGUAGACAUCAAUACAUGUCUAUUCACCAAGACCUCACUUGGAUGGUUAUGGCAUAGAAGAUUAGCUCAUGUUGGAAUGGGGACACUUUAGAAGUUGAUGAAGAAGGAAAUGAUAAGAGGCUUGAAAGAUGUCACAUUUGAGAAAGACAAAUUAUGUAGUGCAUGUAAGCCGACAAGCAAGUGGCAAACACUCAUCCAAUCAAGGCCUAUCUCUCUACUUCUAAAGUUCUUGAGCUAAUGCACAUGGAUCUAUUCAGACCAACCACUUAUGCUAGUAUUGGUGGCAACAAGUAUUGCUUGGUCAUAGUGGAUGACUACUCCCGGUACACAUGGACAUUCUUCUUGCAAGACAAGGCUGAAGUUGCAUCAAUAUUCAAGAAGUUUGCAAAGAAUGCCCAAAAUUAAUUUGAGGUCAAAAUGAAGAAGAUUAGGAGUGACAAUGGCAAAGAGUUUGACAACACCAACACUGAAGAGUAUUGUUAUGAAGCUGGAACCACUGAGUGAUCGAGUGAGCCAUUUGAGGAACUAAAGCAAGCUUUGUUUUCCAAACUUUCAAAACCCUCUAGACAUAGUCUUAGCUUAACUAAAGCAAGGUAAGAAGUCUCUGCCUAUUGCUCCAUCUUACUUUUUGCAUGAUCAAAGUGAAAAGCUAAAAAGCCCCACAAUACUAUGAUUUAUGGUAAAACUUCAAAACUACUCUUUUGGAUAUAAAAAGCAUGGUGUUGUAUCAGUAGACUUUGCAAAGUUACUUUAUUAAAGCAAUGUCUAAUCCAACUCUUUUAUGAAAAACCCGCAUUUUGCUUGAGGACAAGCAAAGGGUAGCUUGGGGGAACUUGUUGAUGGUCCUUAACACCUGUUUUAACCAUCAACAUUUCAUCCAAAACCAUGAUAAAUCAACAUGAACAUGUGCAUAGUUUGGUUGUUACUUACCUAGUUCCACAUGUACAUAGAAAUUUAUUUGUAUGUAGGAAAUAACAGGAAAAAGAGCAAAAAGGACCCAACUAGAAGGCAACCCACCACACCUAGCGCCACAUAGGCCAACCAGGGUGGUGGGCGCCAUGCCAAGGGGUGGCGGCCGCCGAGCCCACCUAGCAGGCGCCACCCUCUGCGUGGCCAGCCACGUCACCGAUCCGAGAGACACCUCUAGAAGUCCAUCUAAGGCGUCCAAUGCAGAUUGGUCAUGUGGAUUGGUGAUGUGGCUUGGUAUGCUGGGGGUGGCACCUGCCAGGUGGGCCUGGUGGUUGCCACCUUGGCAAGGCGCCCGCCACCCUGGCUGGCCAAUGUGGCGCCAGGUGUGGUGGGUUGCCUUCUAGGUGUGUCCAAUUCACUCUUUUUCCUGUUAUUUCCUACAUACAAAUAAAUUUCUAUGUACAUGUGGAACUAGGUAAGUAUUAAGCAAAAUAUGCACAUGAUCAUGUUUAUUUACCAUGGUUUUGGAUGAAAUGUUGAUGGUCAAAAUGGGUGUUAAGGACCAUCAACAAGUUCCCCCAAGCUACCCUUUUAUUGUCUUCAAGCAAAAUGCGGGUUUAGUACAAAAGAGUUGGAUUAGGCAUUGCUUCACUGAAGUAACUUUGCAAAGUCUACUAAUACAAAACCAUGCUUUUUAUAGCAAGAGAUUGGUUUAGAGUUUUACCAUAAGUCAUUGUUGUGUGGGGCUUUUUAGCUUUUCACUUUGAGCAUACAAAAGUUAGACAAAGUAAUAGCCAGAAACUGUUCACCUUGCUUUAGUUAAGUUAAGACUCUAUCUGGAGGGUUUUGAAAUUUUGGAAGACAAAACUUGCUUUAGUUCCUCAAAUGGCUCACUUGAUCACUCAGUGGUGUUUGAUAAACCUCACUAACGCCAGAAGCGAUAGCCUUUAUUACCUACAUAUAAUGGAAUGAUAUGUGGAGCUAUAGGUAGGCAAAAACUAAGCAAACUUGUGUUGUGUAUAUUGUUAAGCUAGACACUUAGAUCGCUAGGAGCAACAAGUCAUGCAAAGAAGAUCAAAAUACGGUGAAGCUGGUUGGUUUAAUGAAAGGUGGGAGAGGAAUGAAGGAACAAUACUCCUUGAGACUUCCUCAUGUCCCUUGAAGGGGGAUAUGGUUGCUACGGAUAACUUUUUUUUGAUAAAUGAUAAGGACAGGAAUGUGUCCUCACAUUUUUGUUGGGCUACAUGCCUCAUAUGAAUUUUUCUUUCUCUCUUUUUUAGCAAACCAUAUCCUUUUCCUUUUAGAGAUUAAUUGUUGAGGAAUUUUUUGUGUGUCUCAACUAUACGGAGUAUAAAGUAGAAAGGACAAAUGUGUAUUUCUAGUGUAGAAAUAGCAUGGGGCUAGAAAUGGGAUGUAUGGAUGCUCUUGCAAAUCUCUAUGGUAGAGAAUAGGCAAUAAUUUGGUGUUUGCAAACUUCCAUAAUGGAUAGUAGGCAAUAGUAAUAGGUGUAAUGGGGAUCUUGAUCAAAAAGGCAUGACAAGUUUCUCUACUUAGAUCAAAUAAGGUCUAAUAGAACUCACACUGACAAGAGAUUUUUAUGAUGGCCUCCUAUCUAAUCGACGUGUAUAUGUGGCUAGUGGUAGGACAGGGAAAAAUACUAGAGGAACUUUGGCAGGAUUUGUGAUUUUCUUAGAAUAAAACUCCAAACUUGAUCUUAACUCUUCUUUAGGCAAGUUAAAAGAUUUACUGACUCUACUAGACCUUAUCUUACUGGGUAUAACUAUGGUGAAGCAUAUGCAACCAACAACACUUAGAUUUAUAGCAAACUUUACUCACCCAAAACUACAGUGGCAUGAAUUGCAUAGCACAUUUGUGCAUUGUUAUUCAGAGCAACGAUUCAUUAUUUCCAUCAUAUUAACAUGGGUUCAAUAGAAAUUGUAGUAGGAUUACUUUUCAGGUUAAGCAUAAUAAAUGGCAAUAUAUAUAUAAUCAAGCUAACCAUGUCCUUAAUAAGAUAUAACAAUAAAUGUGUAAAGGUAGAAAAGUAAAGGAGCAAUGAUGAGGACAUACUUAGUUGGGGGUGACCUCCCCCAAGCUAGCUUGUUGCUAGGUGUAGAGCUUCUUCUCUCAUACUGAUAUCCUUUGCUUUUAUUUAUUUGACUUAAAAAAUGGAAACCUAACUACUAUGGGGUUUUGUGAGUAAGCAAAGCGGGAUCUCACAACUAACUGUUUUGAACUUGCAAACUUCUUUGUGGUUAUUCAAGGUUUUCUUCCUUUCUUUUUCUCUCUUUAUUUUGUUAUUAUCUUUUUUUAUUUGUUUAUUUCCUCUCUCUCUCUUUUUUCCAAUUUAUUCAAUUACAUGCAAGAAAAGCUUAAAUUUUUUAUUGUGUUUUUAUUGUUUUAUAAGCAAUGAUUUAAAAUGAUCCUAAUUCUAAAUGCAAUAAAAAGAUGAACCUAAUCUAAAUGUAAUGCAUGGUUUAAAGGCAAAAUUUAAAUGCGGAAUGUAAAUGCAGAAUUUAAAUGUAGAGAGAUUAAGACAUACCUUAGAACCACGGGGGUUCUUCCUCAGCUGGAAGUUCUUCUUUCGGCGACUCUUCCUAGAGGAGAUCUUCUUCUUCUUCCUUUUUCAACGGGACCUCCUCCUUGUCAGGAGUCACACACAAGGAAGUUGAUGAGGGUUCCUUCUUGUGCCAUCCUCUUCUCCUUGAUAUUGGGUUCUUGGAUUCAGCCCUUUUCUUGUUCGUACUUGGUUUCUUCUAGUUUCUUGCUUCUUUUUCAUUGGUUCACUUUGCCUGCAAGUUAGUUGCAUACGAAGGACCACGAGCAAAAGGAAAUGUUUCUCUUUUCCAACAAGAGUCAUUUGAAUUUUCCUAGAACCAAUGAAAAAUGCAAGCAUCAACAGUAUUAAGAAAGGGAUGUCCCUGGAUUAGAGGGACAUCUUUACUAUUUUCCAUAUCUAAUAUCAUAAAAUCAGCAUGAAUAUAAGAGCCUCUAAUUUGAACUAACAGAUCAGUGGCUAUUCCUUCUAUAUAACAUUUUGAUUGAUUAGCAAGUUGCAAAUAAGCAGUAGUAAGGGCCAUGGGUGAGUAGAACAGAGUUUCAUACAUUUCCUUAGACAUUAUAUUAAAACUCAAUCCUAGAUCACAAACAACAUUUUUAAAAGUAUGAGGCCCAAUAGUGCAUUCAAUUAUAGGACUACCAGGCUCACUUUUCUUUAUAGGAAGAUCUUGAUCUCAAAAGUUAAAAUACUUUAUAUCAACAAGAUUAGGAGUCUCCAUAUUUUCAAGAUUAGCAGGAAUUCUACCAGAUUCAAAAGAUGGUAUAGCAGAAGCAAUUUGAGCUAAUUGGGUUUCUAACAUCUUAUUAAAGCUAAGUUGAUUUUUCAUAGAAGAGAAAUCAUCCAAUUUAGCAUUUAUAUUCCCAAGCAUCUUGUCAUUAGCAAAACUUUUUAUUUAAGUUUUUAGUUAAUCUACCUUGACUAUAAACAAGAUCUUUUAAACUCGGAUACCCAUUGUUGUUAUUAUUAGGAAAAUUAGAACAAGGAAACAAAUUAAAAGUGUUGCCUUGAGAAUUGGAGCGCUGAUUUCAUCCUUGAUUUGGUUGGCGAAAACCAUUAUCGUUGUUGAGGAAGUUGACAUCUUCAUGCGUCUCUUGGCAGUGAUUGCCUGAAUGUCUAGACUCACCACAGACUUUGCAAGUCAUGUGUGAAUCUAGGGCUUAAAUUGCUUCUUCAGUACUCAUCCUUUCGCAUUGCUCUAGCUUCUUGGCCAAUACAUCCAUCUUGGCUACAAUCAUGUCAGCUUCUUUAAGAGAAUGCAUGCCUCUCUUGUGGGGUUGUAGUCAUUCAUCAUUCAACCUUGAUUGGACACCAUCUUCUCUAUCAACGCUUUAGCAUCUACAACACUAAGAGAGAAAAAGGCACCGCCAGCUGCGACAUCUAAAUGGCUCCUAUCUAGAGGGACUAGACCAUGAUAGAAGUUCUGGAUCAAAAGCCAGUCUUCCAUCCCAUGGUGCGGACAGGGCAGUGACAUACUCUUGCAUUCUCUCGCAAGCAUCGAGAAUGGAUUCCUCAGCUUGUUGUGUAAAACUAGAGAUUUUAUUAUAGAGAGCAUUGGUCUUGCCCAUAGGGAAGAACUUAACUAGGAAAGCGUUGGAACACUUGUCCCAUGUAUCUAUAGAAUCGUGAUUGGCAUAGAACCAUUGCUUCGCUUUUCCUAACAGAGAGAAAGGAAAGAGACGAAGACGGAUAGCUUCUUGCGGAAUUCCCUUGAUAGUGAAGGUGCCAAUAUCUCCAAGAAAUGUUGGAGAUGCCCAUUAGCAUCUUCAUGAGCCUUGCCACAAAAAGGACCAGCUUGGACCAUAGUGAUUAAUGCGGGCUUCAACUUAAAGUUGGAGUUAGCAACAGAAGGAGCAGAGACUUCAUGAAUGGUCUUGGCCAUGUUUGUGAAAGAAGGGAUGAUGGGAAAGAAAAGGAUAAAGAAAGAAAUGAAAGAUAAAACUAAAGGGGAUAAAUUGGAGUAGGAUAACUCUGAUGAUCGGUUCUUAAAGAACUCGAUAGGCACACUGAUUGCCUUCCUCAGUAAUGGCACCAGAAAUGCUUGUUGACACUUCUUAACGACACUAGAAGAGGACAGAAGUUAACUACUAUCCUAGUAGUGGUACAAAAAACAUUGUGUCGGUAGUUCUUAGCUACACCUAAAGUGUGGCUAGAGUUGGCUAGUCUACUCAUGCCUAGUGGGGUUGUCAAUCCCAGUAGUAAUAGGGCCAACAUGAGUGAUUGCAAUCAACCUAAGAUGAAUGGGAUCUGUAAGCACACAAAACUAUCGUGUUUAGCACUUCGCCUGGAGAGUGACCAGGUGUCAAUUUAUAAUUUCCUAAAACAAGGCUAGGGCGAUGUGGUCGAGUUGAGAAAGAAUAGAUAAUCAUAGUUAGGAUGGUAAAGAAUUGGUUGGCUAGCAAGAAUGGAUGGAUGGGUAAGUUGAUAUGUGGAUGGUUGAUGGAUAAUAAAAUAAAAGAUAAGGUAACUAAACUAAUCUGCCAACUAACCUAAGGGUUUUGAAGGAUAAAUAAGAGUGGUAUUAGUUUUGCGGAACUAAGGAUAGUAUAAUACUAGUUAUUCAAUUCAAGCAAAGAGGCGUACUCGUUCUGAACUCACCGUAUGGUUGCUCAGGCACGAAGCACAACGAGCUUUAUGUUUUAGGAACUAGACCAAACAUGGGAGAAUACGUAGACAAUCAGGGCUAUCACCACCUAGUGUUACCCUAGCUAUCCAUUGGGCUAGCCGUAUAUGAAGAUAAUCCUAAAGCCUAAGCACCACGCUUAAUCUAUAUUCCUACUAUCUUUACCUGAGCUCUUGAAUAAAGACACCCUAACUAGACGAUUGAGCAAUUCCUUAACUUGAAUAACUAACACUAAAAUAACCAAGCAAUUAUUGCCACACAAUCAAGCACCUAAGCUCACUAAUGAUAUGAUCACUAUAAACUAAGUACUUGAAAGGUAAACAAUCAAUAUAACACACAAAUACUGAAAGUAAAUGAUAACUGAUAAAAUCAGUGCUAAGAUAGCAAAGGUAUAAUACUAGAAUGGAGAGGAGGAAGACUCAUCCCGACUCCAAGCUGAUCUACACCUAGCUACUCUUCCCGCUUACAACUCCAAGCUACUAGAGCUAGGCUAAGCUGGGGGCAUGUUGACGGUCCUUAAGUAUCAAAUAUAAUCAACAAAUAAAUAGAGAAAAGGACCCAAAUGCAACCGACACCUAGACUUUGGCUUUUAUCUGACAGAAUUCCAUGAGUUUUGGUGUUUGUCUAUUUCUGUAGGGGGUUAUCAGGAAAUAUGGAGCAAAGGCCCACACGUCGGGUUUACAUAGAGAUAAUUACGUGCCGCGCAAUUUUCCCUAACCUAGAAGAGUCCAGAAGCCACGGGAACGAGCGGGAGGCCGAGCGGGCCUGGGGAUAGGGCACCCGCCCUCCCCCCUUGAGCGCCCGCCCUGGCUCAGCAGCCAAUCAGGCUAAGUCUCGCGGAUGAUGCUCCACCGACCUAGAGGAUGAAGGAAAACCGUGCGAUUAAGGUCGGUUUGAUCCGAGGCCCAUAUUUAUUUGGAGGGACUAUAUAAACAGGCCCCCUGGCCCCUGAAGGAGGCAGCUCUGAAACCCUAAUUCAUUCAUUCAUCUCGGGAGAACAAGUCGCUGAUCAAGCCCUAGAGCCACCACUUCAACUAGAUCUCUAGUUUAGCAUAGCUACAUAGGAUUAGAACUAGAAGGAGUUAAUAUUCGAUUGUUUCCGGAUCUGUCAAGAGGAUUCUUGGUAAUUCCUGUACUGUUCCUCAUUUGUUCAUCAUUGUUCUUCAAUAUUAUGAAUAUGACUUUGUUUUACUUCAAUAUAUUGAUUAUGACUUUGCUCUACUUGUUUAUAUUUGCAAUUAUAUCGUUCUUAGUUUAUCAAAGUUAUAUGCUUGGCUUAGUUAGAUUGGAAUUAUAUACAUGUUUAGGAUCGUAUAGCGUUUAUCCAUGUGUAUAGUGGGUAAAUGAUAAGUAUUGUGUAGGCGUGGUGCCUAUACCGUAUUUAUCUGCGAUUGUACCCUAUAUGCCGGAUCGCGGGGUAGUUCGUGGUGGUGACAGCUCCAUUGAUUCUUAUGUAGUCCCCCUCCCGUGUAUAGGGCAGGCAGAGCAACAUUAUUACAGGGGAGUGAUUGCUAUGUUUCUCAUCUUCCUUGAUAAUAUCACUAUGGAUGGGUGUAGUCCUGUCUCGCAAUGAUUGUCAAGUAUAAUUGCACUAACUAUGAUAUGCUAGACUUUAUAGUUAAGAAUAACUUAGGAAAUAUUCUUGUAGUUCAUCCUAAUUCCAUGCUAACGACUUGCUAGAAUAUCUGUUGAGGUGCUUAUCCUUAUUAUAUGUGGCUAGUUAUGCUGAUCAGAUUAAUUAUCUUUGUCACCAUUCAUACUUUAUAUGAAAGAGAUAGAUAAAUGCUCUCUAUUACACAUGCAAUGAUAGAUACUCAAUUUCAUAUUUCAUUCCAUAAUCAACAUUGAUGAUUAGCAAUCCCUUCCUAGUGGUAAAAAUAUAAAUAAUGAUACCUGGAAUACUUCUUGGUUAAAAUGCUACAUCGGUAUUAAUCUGUGCGCUUGUAGAUCUCAUUUAUUUAUUCAGAAGAGCAAUUGCAUAUUUCAAUACCGCGUCUCUCAUGUCAUGCUGGGGAUGACAACUUGGCUUAAGUAGCAUGAGGGAUAGGUGGAGGUACGCACUAGCUCAAGGAGGUAGACAUGUUGUCUGCCAAGCUAGACCUGCUCAUGAAGAAUCUCGAGGAUAGAGCUGGAGAUAAGAAAGAAGUCAUGCAUGUCUACGACUCUCACAUGACUUGUCAGGAGUGUGGAGAUACUGGACACUCAGGCAAUCACUGCCCUGAGAUGCUUGAGGACGUGAACUACAUCAACAACAACUACAACUACUACUACAACAACCAUCCUCAACAAAAUCAAGGUUGGAACCAAUAGAGGCCUAACUAGUCAGGUAAUUAUCAAGGUAAUAAUUCUUACAAUAAUAAUAAUAAUUUUCCACCUCUGAGAGAGUUAGUGUCUAAUCAAGGAAAGUUAAUGGAUAGCCUAUCUAAGAAAUUGGCAUCUAAUGAUAAAAUAUUAGAAAAUAUAAAUAAUAAAAUGGAUAAUUUCUCUACUGCCAUCAAGAAUCAAAUUAGCUUUAAUAAAAUGAUUGAAUCUCAGUUAAAUCAAAUAGCUGCUGUUGUUCCUGCUACUAACCCCGGUAUACCAUCACAACCGGAAGGAUUAUAAUCUGCAAAUCUUGUAGACAUGUUUGAUGCAGGUAACUACUGGAGUAACCCCAUUGUGGAAGUAACUACUGACCUUCUGCCGGUCAAGAGAGGUGAUCCAGGACGCCCCGUCAUCCCGAUCUCCAUCGGCAUGGUGGACUUCCCAGAAGCACUCUGCGACUUUGGCUCCAGCGUCAACAUUAUGCCCAGGGUACUCUAUGAAAAAAUCUUUACACAUCCUUUAUUGGAAACAACCAUGUGUUUGUAGCUUCCAGAUCGGACACUAAGUUCCCUAAAGGGAAUAUUGAAGAACCUCUGUGUCUGAGUUGGUGCCUUGUACACCCCAGCAGACUUCGUGGUGAUAGACACCGGUUCUGAUGAGAGGGCACCCAUCAUCUUACGGAGGCCAUUCCUGAACACCUCGGGAGCUGUCAUCUACGCUAGUGCUGCCAAGAUCGGUUUCUACAUCAAGGGGAGGAAGAAGACGUUUUCAUUCAAGAACAAGACUGCACAAAUCCCAGAGCAAUCCCGACAUGAACCAAGGAAGAGGACCAACAGGAGGAAUAGGAACAAGCAAGUGUGGACCGAGUCAGCGAAGAUGGUCACUGCAGUUCAUGGAGGUCAAGAUCGUCGACUCUAGUCACCGUUCCUGACAAAGAAGGAUGACCCAGGUAUGCCAAGCAUCCAAUGCUCCAUUAAUGGAUACAACUUCUAGAAGACGCUUUGCGACACCGGGUCGGGCGUCAACAUAAUGGCUGCAGUCACCUAUCAGCUCCUGUUCGGAACCAUGCCCCUAAAACCGACAUACAUUCAGCUCCAGAUGGCAGAUCAGACAUUUCGAAAGGUUGAAGGUAUAGUAACUGAUGUCCCUGUCAAAAUAGACGAUCAUUUUGUCCAUAUAGACUUUUAGGUUAUUGACAAGGGAGAAGACGAGUACGAUCCACCCAUCAUCCUUGGGAGACCGUUCCUUAGCACCGUUAAAGCAAUCAUCUACAUUGGAACCGGAGAAGUUCACAUGCACUUCCCCUCUGAGAAGGUACGCCGCUAUUUUACUGACCCUAACUAUAUAGUUGAAGACUCUAAGCAGGACAGGACAAAAAGAAGACGACGCAACCGCAACCAGAGGAAGCAAAUCAUCAAGGACGGAUGGGCAGACUACGAAGUAGAAGUGGUAUGGUUUGAAGACAUACAGCUUGAACAGAACUAUCCUGUGAAGACCGUAGCACUGAGUCAGGUGUGGAGAGAGAAGAUUGUUAUACACAAAGAGGAGGUGCCGCCGAAACCACCGACUACGCCAUCCAGCGAUUCCCAGGACGACUGAGAAAACAGAGAGUCCCGUUCGGAGGACUUAAAAACACCGAACGCCUUGUCAAGAGGUAAACUUGGUAGUUAUCCCUUUUCUUUUAAUUAUUUAAAAUAGUUUGCUUAGUUAAUCAUGUUCAUACUAUCCUAAAAAGAAAAUAAAAAUGUUAAAACCAGUAAGCCCCAUGUGAGUAUAAAAGUGGCAUAAAACCCAUAAGUACAUUCACUGUGGUGCCAUAAAAAAAUAAUAAUAAAAUAAAAAUAUUCUUCUGCUCUAUAAAAAUGAAAAUAUAAAAAUAAAAUUGUGAUCCUACCAAAGAAAGUAGCAUUUAUUAAGGAGGCUCAACAUGAUAAAGGCUAGAUAUUUAUGCUAACACCUAAUCAGUUCCACAAAGCUUUGUUGUCUAUUUGAGCUCCAUAGAAUUCAAGGAUCAAGAAGACUAGCAGACGGAGGAUAUUCUAAUCACUGUCAGGGUGCUGCCGACAUUCAAAUACACCUCUGCCACCUGCUAGCUACAUCAGAAAAAAUUACGUCAAAAUCCAGCUUAGGGGAGAGCACCCCCAGUUAUCCCGUUAAGUAUUUCUAUCUAUCUAUAUACUUAUACUAUAUUAAAAUAAACAUAUACAUAACUAUGAAAAAACAAAUAAAUAUUUUGUGCUUAUAUAUAUAUAUAUCUUUUGCUUAGAGUACUUAAUAAACAAAUAAAGUGGCUAUGCUAAACUAAAUCUUUAUAAAACUCUAGCAUGGAUAUGAUGAAUAGUUGGUCUGCCUAAUUUUCAAAUUUGAAGUUCUCUCUCUAGUUUAGACAUAACUGUUAUAAUUUAAAGCUCACUCUAAAAACCUGAAUUUGUGGGAAGAGAACUUGAUCUAAAGUCUAAGUUGUUAACGGAUAUGAUAUGGGAAGGUUGAGCUGUUGUUUAUCUAUUCCUAGAGAUACUAGAAUUCUGGAGAAUUUUAUCUUUGAAAAUCUUUAAAAUAUCACAUGAUGAGUUCCUAUAUGAUGAGAGUUUAAAUUCCUACCACAGCCAUAUAUACAUGCUUGCUAGACUUUGAGCCACACAUUUACUUUUUUACUGCUUAUGAGCAUUGAGUGUGCUCAAGCUGUGUAGACCCUUAGGUGCUUGUCAUGCGGUUAAAAUCAAGAUUCACUUGCACGUUCACUCACACAUGCUGCUUCUACUCCGGAAAUACGCAUCCACUCAUUUCCAUCUCCAGAGCCACCCAAAAGUAUUCUACUCCUAAUCCGGGAGAGAAUAGCCAAAAACAUUCUCCUAUUUCUGUUUUUCCCUGUGAAAUAAAUGCUCGAGUUAUCUUGGUUACUACCACUUGCUAUAUUAUUUCAGGAGAUGAGUGCUCUAAAAAGAAAAAAAAAAGAGAAAAGAUAUGAGGAAAUAAAAAGAGACAAGUGCCCGAAACCUCAAAAGAAAAGAAAAAGUGAGACGAGAGGUAAAAAUGGACAAGUGUCCGACAGUAGAAUUAGGGGUACAAGAUACCCGCCUGAGAGGAAAGAAAAAUAAAAUGUAGAGCAUCUCAUUCUCCUCAAAAGUUUCAAAGAGCAAGAAAGGUAUGUAUCUCUUCAAAAGAGCAAAAGUAGAAUUAGACUUUCACCAUUAUUACCACCAUCAUCACCAUACACCAUUCAUUCGCCAUACAUGCACAUCUUGAUUUGACUUAUUGACUUGUUUCUCUAGAUCCAUGGUUUGACUAUGCAAUAAAUGUCUUGUAAGUAUGUAUACUCUAUCUCCCACCUAUGAGCUCCAGAUAUCAGAAGCCUUAUUAAAGUAGGGUGAGAGAGAAGGCAAGGUCACUAUGCUUCAUACCACAAAUACUACAUACUUUGAGAGAAGGCAUAUACCAUCAUUGCCUUGGUACGGAUCCAGAAAUACCACAAAAGAGAGAUCUGAGAGAGUCAUACAAGGAGUCUCUGAUUUUUAUUUGAAACUCUGCAAAAACUCCAGAGCUAUAGCUGAUCAAGAAUAAGAGACAUGGCGCUUGACUAGACCGUUCUAUCUUUUAACUGCUCAAGACAGAAGUGACGGUUACAAGUCCCAUGGUGAAAGGUAAAAUGAGUAAGUCUUGACGGUUUACUCUAACUCAGAGAUGAGACCUUAUUUGAAAGCAUGUGUACCGUCAAAACUCAAAGGCAUUACAACAACUUCUGAUCCAUCACUGAGAUUAUCCUUGCUCAGGGACGAGCAAGAGGUAAGCUUGGGGGAGUUUGUUGACGGUCCUUAAGUAUCAAAUAUAAUCAACAAAUAAAUAGAGAAAAGGACACAAAUGCAGCCGACACCCAGACUUAGGGUUUUAUCUGACAGAAUUCCAUGAGUUUUGGUGUUUGUCUAUUUCUGUAGGGGUUAUUGUUGGUAUUUUAAACGCAAACAGAAAAAAUCCGCAAGCGCACGGAUACCGAUGUAGCCUUCACCCGGGAGUAUUCCAGAGUAUCGAUUUUCCACAGAGAACGUGAGUGUACUAAUUAAGAUCCAAGAUCGCCCAAGGAUAACUAUAUAAUUAUUUUUGGUGGGAAGAGAGGAAGUUUCCUGAGAGUUCUCUAGUUGAUCUAAGAAUCAAGAAUUACUUCAAAGAUUAUCUAUAUCGGGACAUCAGAGCACUAACCAUAGAAAGAGAUGAGAAGGGCGCUAGGAAGGUCUGACUACGGUCCUACAAACACCGAUCCGAACGAGGUGGAAUACGUCGACCGUUAGGGCUGUCACUACCCUAAGGCUACCACAACAAUCCGUAGGAUUGGGUGCAAUUCCAGGUAAUUGCAAGACUAAACACCACGUCUAAUCUAUUAAUUACUACUCUAAUGUUGCAAAGAUUAGAGCACUUGAUGCAAGCGGGAAUCCAAUAAAUAACUUGAAUGUAAAUAAAAGUAAUUAAAGAACUCAGCAAUUAUGAAUUGAAGAACCUGGAGAACGAUGAAGAACGAACGAGUUGCUGCAAAAGUACAAUGUUGAGGAAGAUCCGACAGAUCCGGCUCCUCCUCCGCUCUCCUCUUCUCUCUCCCUAUUUUCUAGAUUACAACUAGAACUAACUAGAACUAGAACUAGAGGAACUAGAACUAGAACUAGAUGAACUAGAACUAGAUCUAGAUGAACUAGAGGUAGAACUAGAAAAACUAGAAGGACCCUCUCUACUUGGAUGGAGAAAUGGAACCCUAGCUUUGAUUCUGUAGAAGAGGUAUGCCUCCAGGGGCUGGUGGGGGUCUGCUUAUAUAGUCCUUUCAGAUGAAUCUGGGCC
This 18835-nucleotide long non-coding RNA is filed under the name Sorghum bicolor (sorghum). RNAcentral's name for it is "long non-coding RNA (SBIC_LNC018001)". The stretch from base 10533 to 10640 matches the Rfam family "Plant small nucleolar RNA R71". Lineage: Eukaryota; Viridiplantae; Streptophyta; Magnoliopsida; Poales; Poaceae. The record is from RNAcentral.